UUUUUAACUUAGGAACCCAAGCUCUUUUGGGUCCUUGUAGGUUAGCUAUUAUUGUUCCUUUUGGAACCCAUAUUUUUUUAAUGGCUAUUUUGUCCAUAGGCUUGCAGAUUUUAGGAUUAUAAGGAAUGUAUUUCUGCAUACUCUUAUUAAAUUUAACAAACAUCGAUUUAAUAUGAGUAGAUGAUGGAUUUUUAAUUUUCUAUUUUUGUUCAUUAGGCUCAUCAGAUAAAUUAGAAUCCAUUUUAGGAUAGAUAGUGGAGGAUUUAACACAUAUGUCAUUAAGAGAUUUUUGUGUAUACCAAGAUUGAUAUCCUAAUCCAGCCUUUUCAAAUUCAGCUCUUUGAUUAUUUAUCAUUAAGUUCAGUUUUUCAGAGCUGAUAGUAAAUUUUUCAACUAUAGGCUUAAAUUUGUUAACUUCUUUAGUUA
RNAcentral lists this long non-coding RNA (426 nucleotides) under Phoenix dactylifera (date palm). RNAcentral describes it as "long non-coding RNA (PDAC_LNC018813)". The record is from RNAcentral. Lineage: Eukaryota; Viridiplantae; Streptophyta; Magnoliopsida; Arecales; Arecaceae.